Molecule: transfer RNA, 68 nt
Filed under: Tenodera sinensis (Chinese praying mantis)
Lineage: Eukaryota; Metazoa; Arthropoda; Insecta; Mantodea; Mantidae
Description: tRNA-Met
Source: RNAcentral
AGGGAAGUAAGCUAAAUUUAAGCUAAUGGGUUCAAACCCCAUCUAUAGAGUUUUAUCUCUCUUCCCUA